GAUUAAGUUAUUAAGGGCGCACGGUGGAUGCCUUGGCACUAGAAGCCGAUGAAGGACGUUACUAACGACGAUAUGCUUUGGGGAGCUGUAAGUAAGCUUUGAUCCAGAGAUUUCCGAAUGGGGAAACCCAGCAUGAGUUAUGUCAUGUUAUCGAUAUGUGAAUACAUAGCAUAUCAGAAGGCACACCCGGAGAACUGAAACAUCUUAGUACCCGGAGGAAGAGAAAGAAAAUUCGAUUCCCUUAGUAGCGGCGAGCGAAACGGGAAGAGCCCAAACCAACAAGCUUGCUUGUUGGGGUUGUAGGACACUCUAUACGGAGUUACAAAGGACGACAUUAGACGAAUCAUCUGGAAAGAUGAAUCAAAGAAGGUAAUAAUCCUGUAGUCGAAAAUGUUGUCUCUCUUGAGUGGAUCCUGAGUACGACGGAGCACGUGAAAUUCCGUCGGAAUCUGGGAGGACCAUCUCCUAAGGCUAAAUACUCUCUAGUGACCGAUAGUGAACCAGUACCGUGAGGGAAAGGUGAAAAGCACCCCGGAAGGGGAGUGAAAUAGAACCUGAAACCGUGUGCUUACAAGUAGUCAGAGCCCGUUAAUGGGUGAUGGCGUGCCUUUUGUAGAAUGAACCGGCGAGUUACGAUUUGAUGCAAGGUUAAGCAGUAAAUGUGGAGCCGUAGCGAAAGCGAGUCUGAAUAGGGCGUUUAGUAUUUGGUCGUAGACCCGAAACCAGGUGAUCUACCCUUGGUCAGGUUGAAGUUCAGGUAACACUGAAUGGAGGACCGAACCGACUUACGUUGAAAAGUGAGCGGAUGAACUGAGGGUAGCGGAGAAAUUCCAAUCGAACCUGGAGAUAGCUGGUUCUCUCCGAAAUAGCUUUAGGGCUAGCCUCAAGUGAUGAUUAUUGGAGGUAGAGCACUGUUUGGACGAGGGGCCCCUCUCGGGUUACCGAAUUCAGACAAACUCCGAAUGCCAAUUAAUUUAACUUGGGAGUCAGAACAUGGGUGAUAAGGUCCGUGUUCGAAAGGGAAACAGCCCAGACCACCAGCUAAGGUCCCAAAAUAUAUGUUAAGUGGAAAAGGAUGUGGCGUUGCCCAGACAACUAGGAUGUUGGCUUAGAAGCAGCCAUCAUUUAAAGAGUGCGUAAUAGCUCACUAGUCGAGUGACACUGCGCCGAAAAUGUACCGGGGCUAAACAUAUUACCGAAGCUGUGGAUUGUCCUUUGGACAAUGGUAGGAGAGCGUUCUAAGGGCGUUGAAGCAUGAUCGUAAGGACAUGUGGAGCGCUUAGAAGUGAGAAUGCCGGUGUGAGUAGCGAAAGACGGGUGAGAAUCCCGUCCACCGAUUGACUAAGGUUUCCAGAGGAAGGCUCGUCCGCUCUGGGUUAGUCGGGUCCUAAGCUGAGGCCGACAGGCGUAGGCGAUGGAUAACAGGUUGAUAUUCCUGUACCACCUAUAAUCGUUUUAAUCGAUGGGGGGACGCAGUAGGAUAGGCGAAGCGUGCGAUUGGAUUGCACGUCUAAGCAGUAAGGCUGAGUAUUAGGCAAAUCCGGUACUCGUUAAGGCUGAGCUGUGAUGGGGAGAAGACAUUGUGUCUUCGAGUCGUUGAUUUCACACUGCCGAGAAAAGCCUCUAGAUAGAAAAUAGGUGCCCGUACCGCAAACCGACACAGGUAGUCAAGAUGAGAAUUCUAAGGUGAGCGAGCGAACUCUCGUUAAGGAACUCGGCAAAAUGACCCCGUAACUUCGGGAGAAGGGGUGCUCUUUAGGGUUAACGCCCAGAAGAGCCGCAGUGAAUAGGCCCAAGCGACUGUUUAUCAAAAACACAGGUCUCUGCUAAACCGUAAGGUGAUGUAUAGGGGCUGACGCCUGCCCGGUGCUGGAAGGUUAAGAGGAGUGGUUAGCUUCUGCGAAGCUACGAAUCGAAGCCCCAGUAAACGGCGGCCGUAACUAUAACGGUCCUAAGGUAGCGAAAUUCCUUGUCGGGUAAGUUCCGACCCGCACGAAAGGCGUAACGAUUUGGGCACUGUCUCAACGAGAGACUCGGUGAAAUCAUAGUACCUGUGAAGAUGCAGGUUACCCGCGACAGGACGGAAAGACCCCGUGGAGCUUUACUGUAGCCUGAUAUUGAAAUUCGGCACAGCUUGUACAGGAUAGGUAGGAGCCUUUGAAACGUGAGCGCUAGCUUACGUGGAGGCGCUGGUGGGAUACUACCCUAGCUGUGUUGGCUUUCUAACCCGCACCACUUAUCGUGGUGGGAGACAGUGUCAGGCGGGCAGUUUGACUGGGGCGGUCGCCUCCUAAAAGGUAACGGAGGCGCUCAAAGGUUCCCUCAGAAUGGUUGGAAAUCAUUCAUAGAGUGUAAAGGCAUAAGGGAGCUUGACUGCGAGACCUACAAGUCGAACAGGGUCGAAAGACGGACUUAGUGAUCCGGUGGUUCCGCAUGGAAGGGCCAUCGCUCAACGGAUAAAAGCUACCCCGGGGAUAACAGGCUUAUCUCCCCCAAGAGUUCACAUCGACGGGGAGGUUUGGCACCUCGAUGUCGGCUCAUCGCAUCCUGGGGCUGUAGUCGGUCCCAAGGGUUGGGCUGUUCGCCCAUUAAAGCGGUACGCGAGCUGGGUUCAGAACGUCGUGAGACAGUUCGGUCCCUAUCCGUCGUGGGCGUAGGAAAUUUGAGAGGAGCUGUCCUUAGUACGAGAGGACCGGGAUGGACAUACCUCUGGUGUACCAGUUGUCGUGCCAACGGCAUAGCUGGGUAGCUAUGUGUGGACGGGAUAAGUGCUGAAAGCAUCUAAGCAUGAAGCCCCCCUCAAGAUGAGAUUUCCCAACUUCGGUUAUAAGAUCCCUCAAAGAUGAUGAGGUUAAUAGGUUCGAGGUGGAAGCAUGGUGACAUGUGGAGCUGACGAAUACUAAUCGAUCGAAGACUUAAUCAA
RNAcentral lists this ribosomal RNA (2923 nucleotides) under Staphylococcus aureus. RNAcentral describes it as "23S ribosomal RNA". It matches the Rfam family "Bacterial large subunit ribosomal RNA". Lineage: Bacteria; Bacillati; Bacillota; Bacilli; Caryophanales; Staphylococcaceae. The record is from RNAcentral.